AUUGAACUUUCCAAAUUGAAAUAAAGUUUUUGAUUAAAAAACAUUCACAUAAAAAAUUAAUCGGUUUCUUAAUUUAAUUGCAUGAAAUUGUGAAGCAAUGAUUCAAAUCUUCAGAUUGGAUUAAAACAUCCAAUUCAUACGGAUGAAUGUAAUCCUAUAACUUUAAAUCAUCCCAAAACCCUGGGCAUAACAAAGAACGUCAAAAUAGACCCCAAAUUAAAACGAAAUUGAAUAAAAAUGAAAAAGAAAAUUUAUAAAAUAGCAAUCGUAAAACAUGGUACCUCAUACCUUAAACCACACCAAAAUCACACGAGAAAGGAUUGUUGGCCAGUCAAGAAAAUUUUCACAGACUAAACAGAUUUCUUGACCUUUAUAGGAGGCAACCCCCAAAAGGAAAAGUUCAAUCAAAGAAUUAAUCAGAAAACAUUACUAAAAUCAUGAAAAAAAAAAAUAAAAAAUAAAA
Molecule: long non-coding RNA, 463 nt
Filed under: Olea europaea subsp. europaea
Lineage: Eukaryota; Viridiplantae; Streptophyta; Magnoliopsida; Lamiales; Oleaceae
Source: RNAcentral